AGUGAACGCUGGCGGCGUGCUUAACACAUGCAAGUCGAACGAGAACGGGUUAUAGCUUGCUAUAAUUGUCAGCUAAGUGGCGCACGGGUGAGUAAUGUAUAGGUAAUAAGCCUCUUAUUAAGGGAUAACAAAUGGAAACGUUUGCUAAUACCUUAUACUCCUUAUUAACAUAAGUUAAUAAGGGAAAGAUUUAUUGGUAAGAGAUUAGCCUGUAUUGUAUCAGUUAGUUGGUGGGGUAAUGGCUUACCAAGACUAUGACACAUAACUGGUUUGAGAGGAUGAUCAGUCACACUGGAACUGAGACACGGUCCAGACUCCUACGGGAGGCAGCAGUGGGGAAUAUUGCACAAUGGACGAAAGUCUGAUGCAGCAACGCCGCGUGGAGGAUGACACAUUUCGGUGCGUAAACUCCUUUUAUAUGAGAAGAUAAUGACGGUAUUAUAUGAAUAAGCACCGGCUAACUCCGUGCCAGCCGCCGCCGUAA
This 484-nucleotide ribosomal RNA is filed under the name uncultured bacterium. RNAcentral describes it as "partial 16S ribosomal RNA". It matches the Rfam family "Bacterial small subunit ribosomal RNA", at positions 29 to 523 of the family's 1533-position model. The record is from RNAcentral.